AGGAUCGGGUUGGGGGAAAUGUUGUU
This 26-nucleotide non-coding RNA is filed under the name Cricetulus griseus (Chinese hamster). Lineage: Eukaryota; Metazoa; Chordata; Mammalia; Rodentia; Cricetidae. The record is from RNAcentral.